This is a small nucleolar RNA of Apodemus sylvaticus (European woodmouse), 131 nucleotides long. RefSeq annotates it as small nucleolar RNA SNORA17. NCBI's taxonomy places the organism in Eukaryota, Metazoa, Chordata, Mammalia, Rodentia, Muridae. The transcript has a single exon. The record is from RefSeq and is a predicted model, not a curated record.
CCUGCCCCUAGAAGCUAUGCAAGUAUGGCUGCUGUGUCACAUAUGUGUCAGUAGGUGGCAGAGAAGAGCAUGAUAGGUCUAUGCUCAAUGUUCUGAUUUAUGAACAUCUGAAUGAUUAGUUGCCUACCAUU